GCCGGGUAUGGUGGCACAUGCCUGUAAUCCCAGCUACUUGGGAGGCUGAUGCUGGAGGAUCGUUUGAGCCCAGGAGGUUGAGGCUAUAGUGAGUUAUGAUCAUGCCACUACACUCCAACCUGGGCAAUAGAGCAAGACCCUGUCUCAA
Unclassified non-coding RNA from Papio anubis (olive baboon), 148 nucleotides. It matches the Rfam family "Metazoan signal recognition particle RNA". Rfam says of the family: The signal recognition particle (SRP) is a universally conserved ribonucleoprotein. It is involved in the co-translational targeting of proteins to membranes. The record is from Ensembl. NCBI's taxonomy places the organism in Eukaryota, Metazoa, Chordata, Mammalia, Primates, Cercopithecidae.